GAUGAACGCUGGCGGCGUGCCUAAUACAUGCAAGUCGAGCGAACAGACGAGGAGCUUGCUCCUUUGACGUUAGCGGCGGACGGGUGAGUAACACGUGGGUAACCUACCUAUAAGACUGGGAUAACUUCGGGAAACCGGAGCUAAUACCGGAUAAUAUUUCGAACCGCAUGGUUCGAUAGUGAAAGAUGGCUUUGCUAUCACUUAUAGAUGGACCUGCGCCGUAUUAGCUAGUUGGUAAGGUAACGACUUACCAAGGCAACGAUACGUAGCCGACCUGAGAGGGUGAUCGGCCACACUGGAACUGAGACACGGUCCAGACUCCUACGGGAGGCAGCAGUAGGGAAUCUUCCGCAAUGGGCGAAAGCCUGACGGAGCAACGCCGCGUGAGUGAUGAAGGUCUUCGGAUCGUAAAACUCUGUUAUUAGGGAAGAACAAACGUGUAAGUAACUGUGCACGUCUUGACGGUACCUAAUCAGAAAGCCACGGCUAACUACGUG
Molecule: ribosomal RNA, 497 nt
Filed under: uncultured bacterium
Lineage: Bacteria
Description: partial 16S ribosomal RNA
Rfam family: Bacterial small subunit ribosomal RNA
Source: RNAcentral